This 497-nucleotide ribosomal RNA is filed under the name uncultured bacterium. RNAcentral describes it as "partial 16S ribosomal RNA". It matches the Rfam family "Bacterial small subunit ribosomal RNA", at positions 28 to 507 of the family's 1533-position model. The record is from RNAcentral.
GAUGAACGCUGGCGGCGUGCCUAAUACAUGCAAGUCGAGCGAACGGAUGAGAAGCUUGCUUUUCUGACGUUAGCGGCGGACGGGUGAGUAACACGUGGAUAACCUACCUAUAAGACUGGGAUAACUUCGGGAAACCGGAGCUAAUACCGGAUAAUAUUUUGAACCGCAUGGUUCAAAAGUGAAAGACGGUCUUGCUGUCACUUAUAGAUGGAUCCGCGCUGCAUUAGCUAGUUGGUAAGGUAACGGCUUACCAAGGCAACGAUGCAUAGCCGACCUGAGAGGGUGAUCGGCCACACUGGAACUGAGACACGGUCCAGACUCCUACGGGAGGCAGCAGUAGGGAAUCUUCCGCAAUGGGCGAAAGCCUGACGGAGCAACGCCGCGUGAGUGAUGAAGGUCUUCGGAUCGUAAAACUCUGUUAUUAGGGAAGAACAUAUGUGUAAGUAACUGUGCACAUCUUGACGGUACCUAAUCAGAAAGCCACGGCUAACUACGUG